This 649-nucleotide ribosomal RNA is filed under the name Maudiozyma exigua. Its description in RNAcentral is "eukaryotic LSU rRNA". It matches the Rfam family "Eukaryotic large subunit ribosomal RNA", at positions 1 to 667 of the family's 3401-position model. RNAcentral also lists the same sequence under 1 other name. The record is from RNAcentral. Lineage: Eukaryota; Fungi; Ascomycota; Saccharomycetes; Saccharomycetales; Saccharomycetaceae.
GACCUCAAAUCAGGUAGGAGUACCCGCUGAACUUAAGCAUAUCAAUAAGCGGAGGAAAAGAAACCAACCGGGAUUGCCUUAGUAACGGCGAGUGAAGCGGCAAAAGCUCAAAUUUGAAAUCUGGUACCUUCGGUGCCCGAGUUGUAAUUUGUAGAGGGCGACUUUGGGGCGGCUCCUUGUCUAUGUUCCUUGGAACAGGACGUCAUAGAGGGUGAGAAUCCCGUGUGGCGAGGAGUGCGGUUCCGUGUAAAGCGCUUUCGAAGAGUCGAGUUGUUUGGGAAUGCAGCUCUAAGUGGGUGGUAAAUUCCAUCUAAAGCUAAAUAUUGGCGAGAGACCGAUAGCGAACAAGUACAGUGAUGGAAAGAUGAAAAGAACUUUGAAAAGAGAGUGAAAAAGUACGUGAAAUUGUUGAAAGGGAAGGGCAUUUGAUCAGACAUGGUGUUUUGCGCCCCUCGCUCCUUGUGGGUGGGGGACUCUCGCAGCUCACUGGGCCAGCAUCAGUUUUGGCGGUCGGAUAAAACCAGGGGAACGUAGCUUGCUUCGGGAAGUAUUAUAGCCCUUGGGAAUACGGCCAGCCGGGACUGAGGAACGCGAUUCGUCAAGGAUGCUGGCAUAAUGGUUAUAUGCCGCCCGUCUUGAAACACGGACC